ACCAUAACAAGAGUCUUUUUUUGUGUAUUGUUGAAUACUAAAUCUUCAAAGAGGGUCAUUUUGAUCUAAAUUAUUUUGUUUGGUUUCAGUUAGCGGAGUCUUUCUUAGUCUACCUUGAAUUAUUGGGCCAUCCUCCUCCUAAUCAACUCUUCUUCAUGGGGCUUAUAUUGGUUUUAUCCUCACAUGUCUAAACCCUUUGAGGCACAAUUCUACCAUUCUUUUCGUUAACAUGUGCCGUUCCAUUGUUUUCUUUAAUAGUUUCAUUGCUAAUCUUAUAUGCUAAUGCUACUAGUCGGAUGAAUUUAGAACAAAUUACUUUGCUUAGGAGAGGGCAGGUUUUAGGGUUGAGCUUAAUUUAUGAUAAACUGCAUAAAACAUAAAACUGCAUAUGAUUUUGCAAUAAUGCAACACUGUGAAGUUUAGAGAUAAAUACUUUAUUAAAUCCUCACAAAAAUCAAAGGAUGACUGUGCAAAAAAAAUGUAGGCCGGUCGCUGAAAAUGGGAUUUUAC
RNAcentral lists this long non-coding RNA (510 nucleotides) under Trifolium pratense (red clover). RNAcentral describes it as "long non-coding RNA (TPRA_LNC001308)". Lineage: Eukaryota; Viridiplantae; Streptophyta; Magnoliopsida; Fabales; Fabaceae. The record is from RNAcentral.